CCUACGGGUGGCAGCAGUGAGGAAUAUUGGUCAAUGGACGAGAGUCUGAACCAGCCAAGUAGCGUGAAGGAUGACUGCCCUAUGGGUUGUAAACUUCUUUUAUAUGGGAAUAAAACGUUCCACGUGUGGGAUUUUGUAUGUACCAUAUGAAUAAGGAUCGGCUAACUCCGUGCCAGCAGCCGCGGUAAUACGGAGGCUCCGAGCGUUAUCCGGAUUUAUUGGGUUUAAAGGGAGCGUAGGUGGAUUGUUAAGUCAGUUGUGAAAGUUUGCGGCUCAACCGUAAAAUUGCAGUUGAAACUGGCAGUCUUGAGUACAGUAGAGGUGGGCGGAAUUCGUGGUGUAGCGGUGAAAUGCUUAGAUAUCACGAAGAACUCCGAUUGCGAAGGCAGUUCACUGGACUGCAACUGACACUGAGGCUCGAAAGUGUGGGUAUCAAACAGGAUUAGAUACCCUAGUAGUC
Molecule: ribosomal RNA, 460 nt
Filed under: uncultured bacterium
Lineage: Bacteria
Description: partial 16S ribosomal RNA
Rfam family: Bacterial small subunit ribosomal RNA
Source: RNAcentral